Dipodomys ordii (Ord's kangaroo rat) is the source of this 70-nucleotide non-coding RNA. Lineage: Eukaryota; Metazoa; Chordata; Mammalia; Rodentia; Heteromyidae. The record is from Rfam.
GGGAAGGUUGCUCAGUGGUAGAGUGCUUGCCUUGCAUGCAUGAGGCCCUGGGUUUGAUUCCCCAGCACCA